CUACGGGAGGCACCAGUGAGGAAUUUUGCGCAAUGGGGGAAACCCUGACGCAGCAACGCCGCGUGAGUGAUGAAGGCCUUCGGGUCGUAAAGCUCUGUCAAGUGGGAAGAACCCACCCUGUGCUAAUAUCACAGGGUGCUGACGGUACCACUGAAGGAAGCACCGGCUAACUCCGUGCCAGCAGCCGCGGUAAUACGGAGGGUGCAAGCGUUAUUCGGAAUUACUGGGCGUAAAGGGCGCGUAGGCGGCCUUUUAAGUCAGAUGUGAAAUCCCGGGGCUCAACCCCGGAAGUGCAUCUGAAACUAAGAGGCUUGAGUAUGGGAGAGGGAAGUGGAAUUCCUGGUGUAGAGGUGAAAUUCGUAGAUAUCAGGAGGAACACCGGUGGCGAAGGCGACUUCCUGGACCAAUACUGACGCUGAGGCGCGAAGGCGUGGGGAGCAAACAGGAUUAGAUACCCUCGUAGUC
This 465-nucleotide ribosomal RNA is filed under the name uncultured bacterium. RNAcentral describes it as "partial 16S ribosomal RNA". It matches the Rfam family "Bacterial small subunit ribosomal RNA", at positions 339 to 795 of the family's 1533-position model. The record is from RNAcentral.